Molecule: non-coding RNA, 66 nt
Organism: Varroa destructor (honeybee mite)
Lineage: Eukaryota; Metazoa; Arthropoda; Arachnida; Mesostigmata; Varroidae
Source: the annotation of a RefSeq genome assembly
AUUUAGAUAGUUUAAAAAAAAUGUUAAAUUGUGGAUUUAAAGAUAUACAAUGAUUUAUUCUAAAUA